RNAcentral lists this ribosomal RNA (468 nucleotides) under uncultured bacterium. Its description in RNAcentral is "partial 16S ribosomal RNA". It matches the Rfam family "Bacterial small subunit ribosomal RNA", at positions 28 to 507 of the family's 1533-position model. The record is from RNAcentral.
GACGAACGCUGGCGGCGUGCUUAACACAUGCAAGUCGAACGAAAAGGCCAUGCUUUUGUUGGGUUCUCGUGUGGCGAACGCGUGAGUAACACACGAGUAACAUCCCCUUAACUUUCUGAUAACUUCAGGAGAAUGGGGCUCAUACCGGAUAGAAGCUCCUGCUGCAUGUGGGUGGAUGGAAAGAUUCGGCGGUUCGGGCUGGACUCGCGGCUUAUCAGCUUGAUGGUGGGGUAGUGGCUUUCCAAGGCUUUGACGGGUAGCAGGCCUGAGAGGGUGACCGGCCACAUUGGGACCGAGAUACGGCCCAGGCACCUACGGGAGGCAGCAGUGGGGAGUAUUGCACAAUGGGCGGAAGCCUGAUGCAGCAACGCCGCGUGCGGGAUGACGGCCUUCGGGUUGUAAACCGCUUUCGCCUGUGACGAAGCGUGAGUGACGGUAAUGGGUAAAGAAGCACCGGCUAACUACGUG